AAGCAUAUCAAUAAGCGGAGGAAAAGAAACUAACAAGGAUUCCCCUAGUAACUGCGAGUGAAGCGGGAAAAGCUCAAAUUUAAAAUCUGGCGGUCUUCGGCCGUCCGAGUUGUAAUCUGGAGAAGCGUUUUCCGCGCUGGACCGUGUACAAGUCUCUUGGAACAGAGCGUCAUAGAGGGUGAGAAUCCCGUCUUUGACACGGACUACCAGUGCUAUGUGAUGCGCUCUCGAUGAGUCGAGUUGUUUGGGAAUGCAGCUCAAAAUGGGUGGUAAAUUCCAUCUAAAGCUAAAUAUUGGCGAGAGACCGAUAGCGAACAAGUACCGUGAGGGAAAGAUGAAAAGCACUUUGGAAAGAGAGUUAAACAGUACGUGAAAUUGCUGAAAGGGAAACGAUUGAAGUCAGUCGCGUGUGCUAGAACUCAGCCUUGCUUUUGCUUGGUGCAUUUUCUAGUGUACGGGCCAGCAUCAGUUUUGGCCGCCGGAAAAAGGCCUUGGGAAUGUGGCACCUUCGGGUGUGUUAUAGCCCUUGGUUGUAUACGGUGGCUGGGACUGAGGAACAUAGCAUGCCUUUACGGCGGGGCUUCGGCCACCUUCAUGCUUGGAUGC
RNAcentral lists this ribosomal RNA (606 nucleotides) under Bjerkandera adusta. RNAcentral's name for it is "LSU rRNA". It matches the Rfam family "Eukaryotic large subunit ribosomal RNA", at positions 36 to 626 of the family's 3401-position model. Lineage: Eukaryota; Fungi; Basidiomycota; Agaricomycetes; Polyporales; Phanerochaetaceae. The record is from RNAcentral.